This 497-nucleotide ribosomal RNA is filed under the name uncultured bacterium. Its description in RNAcentral is "partial 16S ribosomal RNA". It matches the Rfam family "Bacterial small subunit ribosomal RNA", at positions 28 to 507 of the family's 1533-position model. The record is from RNAcentral.
GAUGAACGCUGGCGGCGUGCCUAAUACAUGCAAGUCGAGCGAACAGACGAGGAGCUUGCUCCUCUGACGUUAGCGGCGGACGGGUGAGUAACACGUAGAUAACCUACCUAUAAGACUGGGAUAACUUCGGGAAACCGGAGCUAAUACCGGAUAAUAUAUUGAACCGCAUGGUUCAAUAGUGAAAGACGGUUUUGCUGUCACUUAUAGAUGGAUCCGCGCCGCAUUAGCUAGUUGGUAAGGUAACGGCUUACCAAGGCGACGAUGCGUAGCCGACCUGAGAGGGUGAUCGGCCACACUGGAACUGAGACACGGUCCAGACUCCUACGGGAGGCAGCAGUAGGGAAUCUUCCGCAAUGGGCGAAAGCUUGACGGAGCAACGCCGCGUGAGUGAUGAAGGUCUUCGGAUCGUAAAACUCUGUUAUUAGGGAAGAACAAAUGUGUAAGUAACUAUGCACGUCUUGACGGUACCUAAUCAGAAAGCCACGGCUAACUACGUG